This 71-nucleotide transfer RNA is filed under the name Marmota monax (woodchuck). It matches the Rfam family "tRNA". From Rfam's summary of the family: Transfer RNA (tRNA) molecules are approximately 80 nucleotides in length. Their secondary structure includes four short double-helical elements and three loops (D, anti-codon, and T loops). Lineage: Eukaryota; Metazoa; Chordata; Mammalia; Rodentia; Sciuridae. The record is from Rfam by way of RNAcentral.
UGGGGUGUGGCUCAGCGGUUGAGCACUUGCCUGCACGCAGGAGGCCCUGGGUUUGGUCCUCAGUACCACAU